AGCAGCCGCGGUAAUUCCAGCUCCAAUAGCGUAUAUUAAAGUUGUUGAGGUUAAAAAGCUCGUAGUUGAACCUUGGGCCUAGCCGGCCGGUCCGCCUCACCGCGUGCACUGGCUCGGCUGGGUCUUUCCUUCUGGAGAACCGCAUGCCCUUCACUGGGUGUGCCGGGGAACCAGGACUUUUACUCUGAACAAAUUAGAUCGCUUAAAGAAGGCCUAUGCUCGAAUACAUUAGCAUGGAAUAAUAGAAUAGGACGUGUGGUUCUAUUUUGUUGGUUUCUAGGAUUGACGUAAUGAUUAAUAGGGAUAGUUGGGGGCAUUAGUAUUCAGUUGCUAGAGGUGAAAUUCUUGGAUUUACUGAAGACUAACUACUGCGAAAGCAUUUGCCAAGGAUGUUUUCAUUAAUCAAGAACGAAGGUUAGGGGAUCGAAAACGAUCAGAUACCGUUGUAGUCUUAACAGUAAACUAUGCCGACUAGGGAUCGGAUGAUGUUAAUUUUUUAAUGACUCA
RNAcentral lists this ribosomal RNA (507 nucleotides) under uncultured Madurella. RNAcentral's name for it is "SSU rRNA". It matches the Rfam family "Eukaryotic small subunit ribosomal RNA", at positions 569 to 1078 of the family's 1831-position model. Lineage: Eukaryota; Fungi; Ascomycota. The record is from RNAcentral.